This is a long non-coding RNA of Astyanax mexicanus (Mexican tetra), 766 nucleotides long. RefSeq lists it as uncharacterized. The transcript has 4 exons. Lineage: Eukaryota; Metazoa; Chordata; Actinopteri; Characiformes; Acestrorhamphidae. The record is from RefSeq and is a predicted model, not a curated record.
UUAUAAUAUUAAUAAUAUAUUAAAAUAACAAUAAUUAUAGCUAAUCUAGCAAAUUCACUCAAUGUCCUGUUCUAAAUGUUACCAUUGGUGCAUGACGUCACCUGAAGAGUUGCUCUCCUUUUUUGCUUACAUAUGGAUUAUUGUUUGAGUAUCAUGAUAAUCAAAUUUGUGUUCGAAAGCUGCAUGAUUUUUGUCACUCUAGAGAAAGAAUGGUCUUCAUGUUAAUCUAACAACAAACUUGGAAUGCAAAAAUAAAUAACAUUUUAAUUAUAAUAUUUAGGUCUAAACACAACAUAUAAUUAUCAUGUCAAAUGGGUCAGCAUUCUUAUCUUAUUUUAAUUAUUAAUCAGAAUUAAAUUAGUUUUCACGAAACAGUAAAUAGUUCUAUGAUUGGGCAAAGUCGUGAUUGUCAAAACGGUUGAGCCAAUGAAAUCCUGAGAAUCUCUCGUUUGAAUUUGAGCGCCAACUUCGCCUAUAGACGUCACGUUCAGUCCGCCGCUGACACGCCCAUUUAGGAGAUUGGCUUCAAUCCACUAGAAGAGACAACUGCAGGUUGUGCAGAGGGAGACGUUCUGGUUGUAUCUGAAGUGUUUGGGUUUUACCGUCGUCACUCUGGACGUAUUUAGUCAUUUCUGACACCAUCUCAGCUGCAUUCUAAAUAAGACAUGCUGGAACCUUACUGGAAGGACAGACACCUCUUAAAGAUGAUGCAGUGACCACUGAUUUAAUGAUUGCUAACAAGAUCCUUGAGUGGAACUACUGUGUC